GAUGAACGCUGGCGGCGUGCCUAAUACAUGCAAGUCGAGCGAACAGACGAGGAGCUUGCUCCUCUGACGUUAGCGGCGGACGGGUGAGUAACACGUGGAUAACCUACCUAUAAGACUGGGAUAACUUCGGGAAACCGGAGCUAAUACCGGAUAAUAUAUUGAACCGCAUGGUUCAAUAGUGAAAGACGGUUUUGCUGUCACUUAUAGAUUGAUCCGCGCCGCAUUAGCUAGUUGGUAAGGUAACGGCUUACCAAGGCAACGAUGCGUAGCCGACCUGAGGGGUGAUCGGCCACACUGGAACUGAGACACGGUCCAGACUCCUACGGGAGGCAGCAGUAGGGAAUCUUCCGCAAUGGGCGAAAGCCUGACGGAGCAACGCCGCGUGAGUGAUGAAGGUCUUCGGAUCGUAAAACUCUGUUAUUAGGGAAGAACAAAUGUGUAAGUAACUAUGCACGUCUUGACGGUACCUAAUCAGAAAGCCACGGCUAACUACGUG
RNAcentral lists this ribosomal RNA (496 nucleotides) under uncultured bacterium. RNAcentral's name for it is "partial 16S ribosomal RNA". It matches the Rfam family "Bacterial small subunit ribosomal RNA", at positions 28 to 507 of the family's 1533-position model. The record is from RNAcentral.